CUGCUUUCUUUGUGGCACAUGUACUAACAUCCAAAUGAUACAGAGAGGAUAAGUAUAGCCUCUGUAUCAGGACAGCACAAAAAUGCAUGAAGCAUUCCAUAUUUUU
Molecule: small nuclear RNA, 106 nt
Filed under: Leptotrombidium deliense
Lineage: Eukaryota; Metazoa; Arthropoda; Arachnida; Trombidiformes; Trombiculidae
Source: RNAcentral